RNAcentral lists this unclassified non-coding RNA (1825 nucleotides) under Camponotus floridanus (Florida carpenter ant). RNAcentral describes it as "glucose-induced degradation protein 4 homolog, transcript variant X2". Lineage: Eukaryota; Metazoa; Arthropoda; Insecta; Hymenoptera; Formicidae. The record is from RNAcentral.
GAAAACCGUCGCGUUUUCCGGUGCGAUAGGAUAAUCCGCGAGGGGGGAGCUCAAGCGAAAGAAGUAACCCGUCGACCCCGUCGACGGGGGGGGGGAUAUUCGUCUCGUUCUCGUGAGAGAAGGAAAAAAAAGGAGAAGAGAAGAAGAUUUCGAGAACGGGUCCCGCGGAUCCCGCGACAUGUAAAUAAGGGUUGUUGUCGUCUGUCAUCGGCGGGUCUGGGUUCGAGGCUCGCGCAUAAAAAGCGUCCAUAUCCCGCGAAUUACCGGCAGUCAUUGCGACACACGGGCGACUCUCGUCAUCGUGAUAUGCGGGGCGCCGCGUCGCGCGUCGUCCUCGUCGCCGUCGUCGUCCUAGCCGCGGACAACGAGCACUAAACGUCGCGCAGACUCGUGUGGCUUUCCCGACCAUCGCCGUACAAAGGAUGCCGGUGAAGGUCGACGUGAUACCACCGCCGCCCGCGAACUCGAAACAGCCCGGUGUCACCAAGUCCCUGUUAUACAACGGCUCGCGCUUUCAGGGUUCGCAAAAGUCCAAGGGCAACAGUUACGAUGUAGAGGUGGUUUUGCAGCACGUGGACGAAGAGAACAGUUAUCUGUGCGGAUACUUGAAGAUCAAGGGCUUGACCGAGGAAUUUCCGACGUUGACGACGUUCUUCGACGGCGAGAUCAUUUCCAAAAAAUACCCGUUCCUGACUCGCAAGUGGGACGCCGACGAGGAUGUUGACAAGAAACACUGGAGUAAGUUUGAGUCAUUCUGUCAAUACGCCAAGACGUUCAAUUCCGACACGUUUGAUUACGAGGCACUGAAGGGAACAGAUUUUGUAUUUAUGAGGUGGAAGGAACACUUUCUAGUACCCGAUCACACGAUCAAAGAUAUUAACGGUGCCUCCUUUGCGGGAUUCUACUACAUUUGCUUCCAGAAAUCCGCCGCCACAAUUGAGGGCUUUUAUUAUCAUCGUAGCUCCGAAUGGUAAAACAAUAUGCAAGUCUGUAUCUAUUAUAGAUUAAAAACUGGAUAACACUGAAAGCUUAAUCGGUAUCAGUCCUUGAAUUUAAGACACGUUCCGGAGCACAGUAUACAAAUCUAUGAAUUCAGGUGAAGUCCAUACUUUUGUUGAGAAAUCUCACAAAAGACAUUCGUGUCUUUUUCUUCUAGCACGCAGAUCUCAUAAAAUUUUGCCCGAUCAAUUUAUUAAUACAUGUUUUAAUAAAUUGGUUUAUUAAUUAUGACAUUCUUCGGUCUUGGAGAUUUGUAAAAAAAGAAUUUAGAAUUUGAUAAUAUUUUUCUUAGCCAAUGAUGCUAAGAAUUAUAAAGACGAGGAUUAUGGAGCGCCUAUUUUGUGGUUGAGCGAUAUGAUUGAUUACAAAUGACAAUUACCUUGAUAUUGUAAAAUAAUCUUUUGUAGAAAUAAAUAAUCUGAAAUGCAUAUCAUUUUAAAUUUUGUUUAUUUUCUAGUAUUGGGAUGAAAAGAUUUUAGAGAAUUUGUUUAUCGUCAUUGUGCAUAAUUUAAAUACAUUAAAUAUUCUGUUUUUAAGGAUAUACAUGUAUCUUUUAUGUGUAAAGUGAAGAAGAUAAACUUAACAUUUUGAUAAGAAUGAUAAAAGAGUACGAGGAUAAAAUUGUAUAAAUUAUUUUUAUUUUAUCUUACUUUGGAAUUUAUGAGAUCUGUCUGUUAAAUUAUAGAAGAUCAGGUGUACUUGUCUGAAUGAAGCUGUACGUAUGUCGUAAAAACGAAGGAAACAAUAAUCACAAAAACUAUAUCGAGAUUUGAACUGUAUUUUAUGUAUCGAAAACGUGUGUAUUUAUGUUAUUUUACAUAAAUGA